GCCCCAGUAGCUCAGUGGAUAGAGCGUCGGUUUCCUAAACCGUGCGUCGCAGGUUCGAUCCCUGCCUGGGGCGCCA
Molecule: transfer RNA, 76 nt
Filed under: Ilumatobacter coccineus
Lineage: Bacteria; Bacillati; Actinomycetota; Acidimicrobiia; Acidimicrobiales; Ilumatobacteraceae
Description: tRNA-Arg
Rfam family: tRNA
About the family: Transfer RNA (tRNA) molecules are approximately 80 nucleotides in length. Their secondary structure includes four short double-helical elements and three loops (D, anti-codon, and T loops). Further hydrogen bonds mediate the characteristic L-shaped molecular structure. tRNAs have two regions of fundamental functional importance: the anti-codon, which is responsible for specific mRNA codon recognition, and the 3' end, to which the tRNAs corresponding amino acid is attached (by aminoacyl-tRNA synthetases). tRNAs cope with the degeneracy of the genetic code in two manners: having more than one tRNA (with a specific anti-codon) for a particular amino acid; and 'wobble' base-pairing, i.e. permitting non-standard base-pairing at the 3rd anti-codon position.
Source: RNAcentral